Molecule: ribosomal RNA, 631 nt
Filed under: uncultured bacterium
Lineage: Bacteria
Description: bacterial SSU rRNA
Rfam family: Bacterial small subunit ribosomal RNA
Source: RNAcentral
UCCUGGCUCAGAUUGAACGCUGGCGGCAUGCCUUACACAUGCAAGUCGAACGGUAACAGGUUAAGCUGACGAGUGGCGAACGGGUGAGUAAUGUAUCGGAACGUGCCCAGUCGUGGGGGAUAACUGCUCGAAAGAGCAGCUAAUACCGCAUACGACCUGAGGGUGAAAGCGGGGGAUCGCAAGACCUCGCGCGAUUGGAGCGGCCGAUAUCAGAUUAGGUAGUUGGUGAGGUAAGGCUCACCAAGCCGACGAUCUGUAGCUGGUCUGAGAGGACGACCAGCCACACUGGGACUGAGACACGGNCCAGACUCCUACGGGAGGCAGCAGUGGGGAAUUUUGGACAAUGGGCGCAAGCCUGAUCCAGCCAUGCCGCGUGCGGGAAGAAGGCCUUCGGGUUGUAAACCGCUUUUGUCAGGGAAGAAAAGGUUCUGGCUAAUACCUGGGACUCAUGACGGUACCUGAAGAAUAAGCACCGGCUAACUACGUGCCAGCAGCCGCGGUAAUACGUAGGGUGCAAGCGUUAAUCGGAAUUACUGGGCGUAAAGCGUGCGCAGGCGGUUAUGCAAGACAGAGGUGAAAUCCCCGGGCUCACCCUGGGAACUGCCUUUGUGACUGCAUGGCUAGAGUACGG